This 789-nucleotide ribosomal RNA is filed under the name Hoplopodapion dumonti. Its description in RNAcentral is "partial 16S ribosomal RNA". The record is from RNAcentral. Lineage: Eukaryota; Metazoa; Arthropoda; Insecta; Coleoptera; Brentidae.
UCUCUUCAGAGGAACUUGUCCUGUAAUUGAUAAACCACGAUUUAAUUUACUUGCUUUAUUAGUUUACAUAUCGCCAUAGUUGGAAUAUCUUAGAAGAGUUAAAUAUUCAAAAAUUUAUUUUAGAAAGAAAAUUAGGUCAAGGUGUAGUUUAUAAGUAAGAAGAGAUGAGUUACAAUAAAUUUAUUUAUACGAAUUAGAAUUUUAAAAAUUUUAUGAAGGUGGAUUUGAUAGUAAUUUUAAUUAAAUUAUUAAAAUGAUUUAAGCUCUAAAAUAUGUACAUAUUGCCCGUCACUUUCACUAUAAAGUGAAAUAAGUCGUAACAUAGUAGGUGUACUGGAAAGUGUACCUAGAAAGACAAAUUAGAGCUUGUUAUAAAGCAUUUUAUUUACAUUAAAAAGUUUAUUGUGAAAAUCAAUAUAAUUUGAAUUUUUAUUAUUAUUAGUUAUUUAAGGUGUAAUUUUAUUUAAAAAAAAUAAUUUUUUGUUUUAUUAUUUUUUAUAAAAAAUUUAUUUUAUUAUAGAGUAUUAGUAUUGUUAAAGAAAUAAAUAAAUAGUUUAAAAAAUAAUUUAUUUUUAGUACCUUGUGCAUUCAAACCGGUGUGAGCCAGGUUGGUUUCUAUCUCAAAAAAAGUAAAAUAUUUUAGUACGAAAGGACCUAGAUAUUUAAUUGAAAAUUUUAUUUGAGAAAUAAAAUUGUUAUUUUGGCUAGAAAUAGUGCGAUAGAUUUAGAAUCUAUAAAUGUAAUAUUUAUAUACAAAUAAUACUUGUUAUUUAAAGAUUUAUUAAUAAU